AGGAACGCGAAGAACCUUACCAGGUCUUGACAUCUUUUGAUCACCUGAGAGAUCAGGUUUCCCCUUCGGGGGCAAAAUGACAGGUGGUGCAUGGUUGUCGUCAGCUCGUGUCGUGAGAUGUUGGGUUAAGUCCCGCAACGAGCGCAACCCUUAUGACUAGUUGCCAGCAUUUAGUUGGGCACUCUAGUAAGACUGCCGGUGACAAACCGGAGGAAGGUGGGGAUGACGUCAAAUCAUCAUGCCCCUUAUGACCUGGGCUACACACGUGCUACAAUGGAUGGUACAACGAGUUGCGAGACCGCGAGGUCAAGCUAAUCUCUUAAAGCCAUUCUCAGUUCGGACUGUAGGCUGCAACUCGCCUACACGAAUUCGGAAUCGCUAGUAAUCGCGGAUCAGCACGCCGCGGUGAAUACGUUCCCCGGGGUCUUU
RNAcentral lists this ribosomal RNA (429 nucleotides) under uncultured bacterium. Its description in RNAcentral is "bacterial SSU rRNA". It matches the Rfam family "Bacterial small subunit ribosomal RNA", at positions 955 to 1378 of the family's 1533-position model. The record is from RNAcentral.